RNAcentral lists this ribosomal RNA (446 nucleotides) under uncultured bacterium. RNAcentral describes it as "bacterial SSU rRNA". It matches the Rfam family "Bacterial small subunit ribosomal RNA", at positions 329 to 792 of the family's 1533-position model. The record is from RNAcentral.
UGCCAGACUCCUACGGGAGGCAGCAGUGGGGAAUAUUGCACAAUGGGGGAAACCCUGAUGCAGCGACGCCGCGUGAGUGAAGAAGUAAUUCGUUAUGUAAAGCUCUAUCAGCAGGGAAGAAAAUGACGGUACCUGAGUAAGAAGCCCCGGCUAACUACGUGCCAGCAGCCGCGGUAAUACGUAGGGGGCAAGCGUUAUCCGGAUUUACUGGGUGUAAAGGGAGCGUAGACGGCAGUGCAAGUCUGGAGUGAAAGGCGGAGGCUCAACCCCCGGACUGCUCUGGAAACUGUACGGCUGGAGUGCAGGAGGGGCAGGCGGAAUUCCUGGUGUAGCGGUGAAAUGCGUAGAUAUCAGGAGGAACACCGGUGGCGAAGGCGGCCUGCUGGACUGCAACUGACGUUGAGGCCCGAAAGCGUGGGGAGCAAACAGGAUUAGAUACCCUAGUA